Molecule: small RNA, 290 nt
Filed under: Hafnia alvei
Lineage: Bacteria; Pseudomonadati; Pseudomonadota; Gammaproteobacteria; Enterobacterales; Hafniaceae
Description: 5' ureB small RNA
Rfam family: 5' ureB small RNA
Source: RNAcentral
GCCUGCUGGGGGGAAAUCAAAUGGAUGUGGGAAUCAAUACCAGCAGCAGUUAAAAUCAAAUGCUCACCUGAAAUAGCAUCAGUGCUGACCCCGACAACCAUGCCAGGCGUAACACCAUCCAUAACAUCUGGGUUUCCACUUUUUCCAAUACCUACAAUUCUCCCGUCACGAAGCCCAACAUCAGCUUUAACAACACCUAAUUUUGCAUCGAGAAUGGUUACGUUAGUUAUGACAAGAUCAAGCACACCAUUAUCACGAGUUAAAUUGUUAUUCGCGCCCAUUCCAUCUCG